GCAUGCCUUACACAUGCAAGUCGAACGGUAACAGGUCUUCGGAUGCUGACGAGUGGCGAACGGGUGAGUAAUACAUCGGAACGUGCCCAGUAAUGGGGGAUAGCUCGGCGAAAGCCGGAUUAAUACCGCAUACGCCCUGAGGGGGAAAGUGGGGGACCGCAAGGCCUCACGUUAUUGGAGCGGCCGAUGGCUGAUUAGCUAGUUGGUAGGGUAAAGGCCUACCAAGGCGACGAUCAGUAGCUGGUCUGAGAGGACGAUCAGCCACACUGGGACUGAGACACGGCCCAGACUCCUACGGGAGGCAGCAGUGGGGAAUUUUGGACAAUGGGGGAAACCCUGAUCCAGCAAUGCCGCGUGUGCGAAGAAGGCCUUCGGGUUGUAAAGCACUUUUGUCAGGGAAGAAAUCCUUUGGGCUAAUACCCUAGGGGGAUGACGGUACCUGAAGAAUAAGCACCGGCUAACUACGUGCCAGCAGCCGCGGUAAUACGUAGGGUGCAAGCGUUAAUCGGAAUUACUGGGCGUAAAGCGUGCGCAGGCGGUUGUGUAAGACAGGUGUGAAAUCCCCGGGCUUAACCUGGGAAUUGCAUUUGUGACUGCACGACUAGAGUGUGUCAGAGGGGGGUGGAAUUCCACGUGUAGCAGUGAAAUGCGUAGAUAUGUGGAGGAACACCNAUGGCGAAGGCAGCCCCCUGGGAAUAACACUGACGCUCAUGCCCGAAAGCGUGGGGAGCAAACA
RNAcentral lists this ribosomal RNA (736 nucleotides) under uncultured beta proteobacterium. RNAcentral describes it as "bacterial SSU rRNA". It matches the Rfam family "Bacterial small subunit ribosomal RNA", at positions 42 to 774 of the family's 1533-position model. Lineage: Bacteria; Pseudomonadati; Pseudomonadota; Betaproteobacteria. The record is from RNAcentral.